RNAcentral lists this ribosomal RNA (418 nucleotides) under uncultured Cytophagales bacterium. RNAcentral describes it as "bacterial SSU rRNA". It matches the Rfam family "Bacterial small subunit ribosomal RNA", at positions 1 to 414 of the family's 1533-position model. The record is from RNAcentral. Lineage: Bacteria; Pseudomonadati; Bacteroidota; Sphingobacteriia; Sphingobacteriales.
AGCUCACGUAAGAGUUUGAUCCUGGCUCAGGAUGAACGCUAGCGGCAGGCCUAAUACAUGCAAGUCGAGGGGCAGCACGGCAGCAAUGCUGGUGGCGACCGGCGGACGGGUGCGUAACGCGUAUGGAACUUGUCCGGAUCUCUGGAAUAGCCCCCGGAAACGGGGAGUUAAUGCCGGAUGGCGCGUUUGUGUGGCAUCACAUGAACGCUAAAGCUCAGGCGGAUCCGGGUGGCCAUGCGUUCGAUUAGCUAGUUGGCGGGGUAACGGCCCACCAAGGCGACGAUCGAUAGGGGUCCUGAGAGGGAGGUCCCCCACACUGGUACUGAGACACGGGCCAGACUCCUACGGGAGGCAGCAGUAGGGAAUAUUGGGCAAUGGGGGCAACCCUGACCCAGCCAUGCCGCGUGCAGGAGGAAGG